This 479-nucleotide ribosomal RNA is filed under the name uncultured bacterium. Its description in RNAcentral is "bacterial SSU rRNA". It matches the Rfam family "Bacterial small subunit ribosomal RNA", at positions 14 to 473 of the family's 1533-position model. The record is from RNAcentral.
UGAUCAUGGCUCAGGACGAACGCGGGGGCGUGCCUAAUACAUGCAAGUCGAACGCUUCUUUCCUCCCGAGUGCUUGCACUCAAUUGGAAAGAGGAGUGGCGGAUGGGUGAGUAACACGUGGGUAACCUACCCAUCAGAGGGGGAUAACACUUGGAAACAGGUGCUAAUACCGCAUAACAGUUUAUGCCGCAUGGCAUAAGAGUGAAAGGCGCUUUCGGGUGUCGCAUGAUGGAUGGACCCGCGGUGCAUUAGCUAGUUGGUGAGGUAACGGCUCACCAAGGCCACGAUGCAUAGCCGACCUGAGAGGGUGAUCGGCCACACUGGGACUGAGACACGGCCCAGACUCCUACGGGAGGCAGCAGUAGGGAAUCUUCGGCAAUGGACGAAAGUCUGACCGAGCAACGCCGCUUGAGUGAAGAAGGUUUUCGGAUCGUAAAACUCUGUUGUUAGAGAAGAACAAGGACGUUAGUAAGCUGAAC